UGAAGUUAUCUUUUAAUAGAUUUAACUAGUUUUAAUUUGUAGAUGUCUCAUAUAAUCAAUUUGUAUGUAAAAAUAUCACAUUUAUUCUUUAAAAUUGUGUGUGUGAGUUUUUUUCUUUUUCAUUUUCUUUUUCUUUUUUUUUUUUAAAAAAUAUUUCAACACCAUGGAUAAAAUAAUUAACAUAUUAAAAAUCUUUAGAAACUAAAAACAAGUUCUAAGAGCGACUAAAAUAA
This 233-nucleotide long non-coding RNA is filed under the name Citrus sinensis (sweet orange). RNAcentral describes it as "long non-coding RNA (CSIN_LNC000263)". Lineage: Eukaryota; Viridiplantae; Streptophyta; Magnoliopsida; Sapindales; Rutaceae. The record is from RNAcentral.